UCGAGCGGGAAGCUUUUUAGGAUUCUUCGGAUGAAUUAAAAAGUGGAGAGCGGCGGACGGGUGAGUAACGCGUGAGAAACCUGCCCUAUACAGGGGGAUAGCCAUUGGAAACGAUGAUUAAUACCCCAUAUGACCACAGUAUCGCAUGAUACAGCGGUGAAAACUCCGGUGGUAUAGGAUGGUCUCGCGUCUGAUUAGCUAGUUGGUGGGGUAACGGCCUACCAAGGCGACGAUCAGUAGCCGGCCUGAGAGGGUGACCGGCCACACUGGAACUGAGACACGGUCCAGACUCCUACGGGAGGCAGCAGUGGGGAAUAUUGCACAAUGGGCGAAAGCCUGAUGCAGCGACGCCGCGUGAACGAUGAAGGCUUUCGAGUCGUAAAGUUCUGUUCUUGGGGAAGAUAACGACGGUACCCAAGGAGAAAGCACCGGCUAAAUACGUGCCAGCAGCCGCGGUAAUACGUAUGGUGCAAGCGUUGUCCGGAAUUACUGGGCGUAAAGAGUUCGUAGGCGGUUAGAUUAGUCAGAAGUGAAAGGCUACGGCUCA
RNAcentral lists this ribosomal RNA (547 nucleotides) under uncultured bacterium. RNAcentral's name for it is "bacterial SSU rRNA". It matches the Rfam family "Bacterial small subunit ribosomal RNA", at positions 62 to 611 of the family's 1533-position model. The record is from RNAcentral.